RNAcentral lists this ribosomal RNA (486 nucleotides) under uncultured bacterium. RNAcentral's name for it is "bacterial SSU rRNA". It matches the Rfam family "Bacterial small subunit ribosomal RNA", at positions 8 to 472 of the family's 1533-position model. The record is from RNAcentral.
AGAGUUUGAUCCUGGCUCAGAACGAACGCUGGCGGCGUGGAUAAGACAUGCAAGUCGGACGAGAUUUUUCGUUGUAGCAAUAUGAUGGAAAGUCUAGUGGCGAACGGGUGCUUAACACGUGGGCAACCUGCCGUGAAGUGGGGGAUAGCUCGCCGAAAGGCGAAUUAAUACCGCAUGUGAUUAGAGAGGACAUCCUUUCGAAAUUAAAGUCGGGGCAACCUGACGCUUCUUGUGGGGCCCGCGGCCUAUCAGCUAGUUGGUGAGGUAACGGCUCACCAAGGCUUUGACGGGUAGCUGGUCUGAGAGGACGACCAGCCACACUGGGACUGAGACACGGCCCAGACACCUACGGGUGGCAGCAGUCGAGAAUUUUUGACAAUGGGGGAAACCCUGAUCGAGCGACGCCGCGUGGAGGAUGAAGGUCUUCGGAUUGUAAACUCCUGUCAUUGGGGAACAAGGUGCAAACGUUAACUGCGUGUGCAUUGA